GCCCCUGUAGCUCAGAGGACAGAGCAGCGGUUUCCUAAACCGCGUGUCGGCCGUUCGAGUCGGCCCAGGGGUACCU
RNAcentral lists this transfer RNA (76 nucleotides) under Chloroflexota bacterium. Its description in RNAcentral is "Chloroflexi bacterium (hot springs metagenome) tRNA-Arg". It matches the Rfam family "tRNA". Rfam says of the family: Transfer RNA (tRNA) molecules are approximately 80 nucleotides in length. Their secondary structure includes four short double-helical elements and three loops (D, anti-codon, and T loops). Lineage: Bacteria; Bacillati; Chloroflexota. The record is from RNAcentral.